CCUACGGGGGGCAGCAGUGGGGGAUAUUGCACAAUGGGGGGAACCCUGAUGCAGCGACGCCGCGUGGGUGAAGGAGCGUUUCGGCGCGUAAAGCCCUAUCGGCAGGGAAGAAGAUGACGGUAACUGACCAAGAAGCCCCGGCUAACUACGUGCCAGCAGCCGCGGUAAUACGAAGGGGGCAAGCGUUAUCCGGAUUUACUGGGUGGAAAGGGGGCGCAGACGGCAAUGCAAGCCAGGAGUGAAAGCCCGGGGCCCCACCCCGGGACUGCUCUUGGAACUGCAUGGCUGGAGUACAGGAGGGGCAGGCGGAAUUCCUAGUGUAGCGGUGAAAUGCGUAGAUAUUAGGAGGAACACCGGUGGCGAAGGUGGCCUGCUGGACUGUGACUGACGUUGAGGGCCGAAGGCGUGGGGAGCAAACAGGAUUAGAUACCCCAGUAGUC
Molecule: ribosomal RNA, 440 nt
Filed under: uncultured bacterium
Lineage: Bacteria
Description: partial 16S ribosomal RNA
Rfam family: Bacterial small subunit ribosomal RNA
Source: RNAcentral